Molecule: ribosomal RNA, 371 nt
Filed under: uncultured bacterium
Lineage: Bacteria
Description: bacterial SSU rRNA
Rfam family: Bacterial small subunit ribosomal RNA
Source: RNAcentral
UGCCAUCAUUUAGCUGGGCACUCUAAAGGGACUGCCGGUGUUAAACCGGAGGAAGGUGGGGACGACGUCAAGUCCUCAUGGCCUUUAUGUCCAGGGCUACACACGUGCUACAAUGGGCGGCACAAAGGGCAGCGACACCGCGAGGUGAAGCAAAUCCCAAAAAACCGCUCUCAGCUCGGAUCGGAGUCUGCAACUCGACUUCGUGAAGGUGGAAUCGCUAGUAACCGUGGAUCAGCAUGCCACGGUGAAUACGUUCCCGGGCCUUGUACACACCGCCCGUCACACCACGAAAGUCUGCUGUACCAGAAGUCGUUGGGCUAACCCGCCUUGGCGGGAGGCAGGCGCCUAAGGUACGGCCGGUAAUUGGGGUG